Molecule: ribosomal RNA, 673 nt
Filed under: Ceraceomyces sp. FD-540
Lineage: Eukaryota; Fungi; Basidiomycota; Agaricomycetes; Amylocorticiales; Amylocorticiaceae
Description: eukaryotic LSU rRNA
Rfam family: 5.8S ribosomal RNA (bases 259-412)
Source: RNAcentral
AGUAAAAGUCGUAACAAGGUUUCCGUAGGUGAACCUGCGGAAGGAUCAUUAUCGAGUUUUUUUGAACGGGUUGUAGCUGGCCUUUUCAUGAGGCAUGUGCACGCCUGGCUCAUCCACUCUCUUACCUCUGUGCACCAUCUGUAAGAAAAAGGGUUGCCGACUGCUAGCCGGUUGAAGACCUGCUUUCUUAUGUUUUAUUACAAACAUGGCUUUAGUAUCAGAAUGUAUUUUGUUAUCUUGCGUAAUGCAUUAUAAUACAACUUUCAGCAACGGAUCUCUUGGCUCUCGCAUCGAUGAAGAACGCAGCGAAAUGCGAUAAGUAAUGUGAAUUGCAGAAUUCAGUGAAUCAUCGAAUCUUUGAACGCACCUUGCGCUCCUUGGUAUUCCGAGGAGCAUGCCUGUUUGAGUGUCAUGGAAUUCUCAACCUGAAGAAUAAUUUUGUUAUUAUUCUGAGGGCUUGGACUUGGAGGUUUGUGUCGGCUCUUAGUAAAAGAGUUGACUCCUCUGAAAUGUAUUAGCGUGAAUCUUACGGAUCGCCCUCAGUGUGAUAAUUAUCUGCGCUGUGGUUGUGUGAAGUAUUUAAUUGACUCAUGCUUACAGUCGUCUCUUGGUAAGGGACAAUUUUAAUAUGACAUCUGGCCUCAAAUCAGGUAGGACUACCCGCUGAACUUAA